Long non-coding RNA from Mercurialis annua (annual mercury), 1532 nucleotides. RefSeq lists it as uncharacterized. The transcript has 2 exons. Lineage: Eukaryota; Viridiplantae; Streptophyta; Magnoliopsida; Malpighiales; Euphorbiaceae. The record is from RefSeq and is a predicted model, not a curated record.
UUGGUGUAUGAAAAAUUUCAGAAUUUUUCAUAAUUCGGAUAUUGAGAUAAAAAUUAAAUAGCACCUAGUGCUCUGUUUGUAAAUUGUGUAAGGCUGCUGCUGUAAGUUAAUUAUUUGAGGACCUUAAACACAUUAGUUUGGCCUAAAUUUUGGUAUGCACUUAGAAAUAUAUGUUAUAUAAGUGCCAUAAAAUUUUCAGAGAAAAAUGUGGCCAUUUGAUAGGUUAAUUGAAUAAAUCUUUGGCUGUAGUCGGUGUAGGCAGCCGUGCUAUGCACAACGAUGGUUAUGCCGAUACGUAUAUUUGCAUAGACAAGUAGAAAAAUGGUUUGAAAUGAAUUGAAUAAUUUGUUAAGAGAUGGCUUGAUCGAGGUGUCUGAAUUAUGUUGAGGUUAUAAUUCGGUAUCAAUAGGUUAGUCUUGUUGUGUAUUAAGUUCCGAAUUGAAUUGACGUUUUGCAUAAAACGUCUUGCAAACAGCGAUAUUGCAAAGGCAAUAUCUCGGGCUGUAUGAUUCCAAACUAAGUUCCGUUUGCUGGUACGGAAACUUUGGGAUGUUAACUACAAUUGUCUAGUUUUAAUAUUUCUCUAAUUCUGCCUCUAAGAUGGUCAUCUGAGGCAAAACAUUUUUGUGUGCAGUCUGAACUGUUAUUCUGGACAGCUUGAGGUUUUAACUUCGAAGCUUGUUUUCGACACCUUCGGGUGCAUUUCAUGGUCCGAGACCUAAACAAAAGUUGUAGGCGACGUUCUAAACUAUAAGAAUGUCACUUUUGUUUAGAGGUCGGAUUAUUUUAGAUAAGCGUUUUUGAUAGCCAAAGUGAGCUACAAAACAGCCUUUAAAUAGAAAAUUGGAGAUGAGAAUUGUUAUUUAUUGCGCUAUUAUCGUAAUUGCGUAGAUUCGACGAGGCGACUAUCGACGGAGUUCAAAGUUCUUGAAUCGAGAUUAACGCUUUGCUUGAUUAGAGUAAAUGGAUAGCAAGUGGAAUAGUAUGAUAUGAUUUGGAGAGUCAAGCUUCCGAAGUUUUAAAUUCUCGGAAGUCAUUUGCACAAGAAGUUAAAGAAGGUUUUCAUUCUAGCGGUCCGCAGUAGUCUAGAUGUCUUUGUCUAUGUAUUUAUAUAGCGCAUUUUAACUCUGAUAUUUUUGUAAAAUGGGGUCACAUGUAUUUUGAUAUAUGAAAAAUGAUUCGAUUUGCGAAAAAUUUACACAGGAUUUUAGGCUUGCUACGGGUUUCGGAGCUACCACUCCCAUUCCCUAGCGCCGGUCGCGACUCAUAAAUUUGGGUCGUGACAAAGGUGGUAUCAGAGCAAAGGAUGGGAGGUUCGGCUGGUGAGCGGGGCUCCCGGGACCGUUCCGAUUCUAGGGAACUCUCACUCAUGAUCUGUGACGAAGUGAGGCUCUCCGCCCUAGAGCGUAUGGUAAUGCGUGCUCUGAUAGGUACAUAUGGAUGUCACCCUAUGGGAUAGGACGGAGUCCAUAUCGGUUACGACCGCACCUGAAAAAAAGGUGGUAUCAGAGCAAUGGUUUAGAUUCAUAGGC